This is a long non-coding RNA of Puntigrus tetrazona (Sumatra barb), 1246 nucleotides long. RefSeq lists it as uncharacterized. The record is from RefSeq and is a predicted model, not a curated record. NCBI's taxonomy places the organism in Eukaryota, Metazoa, Chordata, Actinopteri, Cypriniformes, Cyprinidae. The transcript has 3 exons.
CUUUUUGUCACAGAAACCUUGGAAAGUCGGGGCUACGUGUUUCCUGCUUGGGUCUUGGUACCUGGGUGACAUUUGGAUCUCAGAUCUCCGAUGAGAUGGCGGAGAGUCUGAUGACUAUAGCCUAUGAGAAUGGAGUGAAUCUGUUCGACACGGCAGAAGUGUACGCUUCAGGCAGGUACGAUUCCCACCGGUGCACUGGAUGUGAGAGCGUGUGCACUGCAUUUUUCUGUAUUUUGUAAAAAAGAAGUGAUCUUAAGGGUAUUGAAUGUAGACUUGUAGUGCGCUUAAAAAAAAGGUUAUUUUUCAUAAAAAUAGCUGUUUUAGAUCACAUAACAUUAAUGAAAUAAAAGGGAACUUGCAGUAAGUGUACUUGUUGUAAAUGUUUCUUAACACACAAGUACGUUCUGAUGUUAUUUUAAAGUGCAUUUAAAAUCUUAGUUUUAAUAAUCUUUGUCGUGAUUUAAAGGAAUAGACAACCCCAAAUUUUGUAUUAGCUGACUAACAUACUUAUACAUAUUAACAUAUGCAGAUAUACACUGUAGGCCUCUAUCCACCUGCAUUACUAAGCUUGGAUGAGCCAGGAUACAUUUUUAAAACUUUUUAAUCUUAUUGGCAGUGCCUGUUUACACUAACUCCGCCCACCGGCGCGUGAUUGGGCUAGUCAUCAUUACACAGGACGGUUACUUGUUAACAACUCCAGUGGUGCAGAUGGUAAAAUAUAUGGUAGUCUUCUUUUUUCUCCCUUUUUAAAUUCAAAUCAAAUCAGAAAAGCAUUCAUUUCCAAUAACAAUGAAGGAAGUAAUCAAAAAGUGGAAAAUAAAGUAUCGUGUAGGUUUAGGACUUUGUCGUCCCAUUAAGGAUGUCAACCACGGCAUUUAUUUAAUAAUUUGAAUUAAAAUUAACAUUCACACUCAAUUAGUUGCAUUCUUUGUUAUAAUGUACUUUAAUACUGAGGUGCAGAUCUCAGUGUAAGUCGUAUAAAUGGCAGAAAAUGUUAUUUGCAGUGUAAAUAGCAUCACUAAAUAAUGCUGCUAAGAAUCAAUUGCUAGUUGCACUUAUAAGAAAAUAUUCUAUUUUCACUUAGUGUCAAUAACAUAUAAUUACGCUAUUUACACAUAAAUAGCAUAUGACAAAAAAAACUGGUAUAAAAAGAAUCCAUUACUACUUGUACUUAGCGUAAAUGGCCGCUGCCUUUUAAAAAAAACUGUGUGACUGUGUUCGUCUGAAAGAGGAAAGUCAUACACAC